AGAGUUUGAUCAUGGCUCAGGAUGAACGCUGGCCGGCGUGCAUAGCACAUGCAAGUCGAACGAGAACCCCAUCUUCGGAUUGGGGGACACUGGCGAACGGGUGAGUAACACGUUGCUGACUUGCCCGAAGUGAGGGACAAUCUGCGAAAGCGGGGCUAUUACCGCAUGUGCUCCAGGGGGUUAGAGGCCCCUGGAGUAAAGCUCUGGCGCUUCGGGAGUGACCUGCGGCAUAUCAGCUAGUUGGUGAGGUAACGGCUCACCAAGGCUAAGACGGGUAGGGGGCGUGAGAGCGUGGCCCCCCACAAUGGAAGUGAGACACGGUCCAUACUCGUACGGGAGGCAGCAGUGAGGAAUAUUGCGCAAUGGGGGAAACCCUGACGCAGCAACGCCGCGUGGGUGAUGAAGGCCUUCGGGUCGUAAAACCCUUUUCUGGGGGAAGAGAAAGGACGGUACCUCAGGAAUAAGUCCCGGCUAAUUACGUGCCAGCAGCCGCGGUAAAACGUAGGGGGCGAGCGUUAUCCGGAUUUACUGGGCGUAAAGCGCGUGCAGGCGGCUUGGUAGGUUGGACGUGAAAGCUCUUGGCUCAACUGAGAGAGGUCGUUCAAUACCGCCAAGCUUGAGGGCGGAAGAGGGGAGCGGAAUUCCCGGUGUAGUGGUGGAACGCGUAGAUAUCGGGAGGAACACCCGUGGCGAAGGCGGAUCCAUGGUCCGCACUUGACGAUGAGACGCGAAAGCGUGGGUAGCAAACGGGAUUAGAUACCCCGGUAGUCCCCGCCGUAACCGAUGGAUGUUAGGUGUAGGUGGUAUUGACCCCAUCUGUGCCGUAGUUAACGCGUUAAGCAUCCCGCCUGGGGACUACGGCCGCAAGGUUAAAACUCAAAUGAAUUGACGG
Molecule: ribosomal RNA, 892 nt
Filed under: uncultured bacterium
Lineage: Bacteria
Description: bacterial SSU rRNA
Rfam family: Bacterial small subunit ribosomal RNA
Source: RNAcentral